Phalaenopsis equestris is the source of this 742-nucleotide long non-coding RNA. RefSeq lists it as uncharacterized. The transcript has 3 exons. The record is from RefSeq and is a predicted model, not a curated record. Lineage: Eukaryota; Viridiplantae; Streptophyta; Magnoliopsida; Asparagales; Orchidaceae.
GUAGCAAAUCACAAGCUUAAACCCUAGCCGCAUUUAGGUCUCUAUUAUUUCUCGGAGAGCAGAAGGGAUCAUUGCCCUAGUUGAAGAUGUAAGGUUCCAGUCGGGAAUUGCAGGAAUUGACUUCUAGAUGCGUCAAUUCUCUCAGCAAAGGAGGAUAUUUAGUUAGUUAUUGUACUUUGAUUGCAAGCACCUCAACAAUCUAUUCUACACGUCCUGUCUUCUUUCGACUGUAAGUUUAAUCGCAUCAGUGAACUUAGAGGAAGGAACUAACAUCCCUAGCUUUGAUUGCUCCAAAGAAUUGCAGGCGGAAUCUCUAUGUCGAUUCAAGUAAUGUCAUUUGCAAUCGGCAACCUUAUUAAGCUUGCUUUGGCUUCGACGGAAAUAUUAGAGUGGAAAUUGACCACUUUUAGAUGGGUGUGAUCUAAGAUGGCGUAACCUAAAGCUGGAAUUUGGUAGAUGGCUUGUAUGAGCAAAUUUUCCAAAUUUAUCUAAGAUGGCGUAACCUAAGAUGGCGAUGUUUGGCUGCAACUUCGAUUGACAUUAAAUAGGAUUUAUCACAUCAGAUAAAUCCAAAUUUAUCAAAUCAACACUGUGACAAAUUUGCUCGUGAAUGAUGGCGGAAUAAAUUCAUCUCGCAGUCGGAUUUAUUAAAUUCAGAUUUAUCAAAUCCAUACUGUGAUGGAACACACAGAGGAAGACAGAAGGAGAGAAAAUUGGAUUUAACGGUGGUUUGGAUUUAAUU